Molecule: transfer RNA, 76 nt
Filed under: Prevotella sp.
Lineage: Bacteria; Pseudomonadati; Bacteroidota; Bacteroidia; Bacteroidales; Prevotellaceae
Description: tRNA-Lys
Rfam family: tRNA
About the family: Transfer RNA (tRNA) molecules are approximately 80 nucleotides in length. Their secondary structure includes four short double-helical elements and three loops (D, anti-codon, and T loops).
Source: RNAcentral
GCACCGUUAGCUCAAUUGGCAGAGCAGCCGACUCUUAAUCAGCGGGUUGUAGGUUCGAUUCCCCCACGGUGUACCA